UGUCUGCAGGUGCAUCUCAUCCUGCAGCACUUCUCAGCAACUGCCCUCCUUUGCCUCCCAGGAAGCAGUGCUGGGCUCCAUUGCAGGAGGACAGAACUCAUUUGCGACGUGCCCAGCAGCACAGAGUACUUACAAACAACUCCUCACAGCCUGCAUCGUGCUGCAGAGACACACCCCACAAUCAUGCAACCACAACACAGAUAAUGAAAGAACGAGUGCAGCACUGUUCUCCUGGAAGAAAUCAGUAGUCUCUUACCAAAGCAAGGACAUUAAGGAAUUCCCGAGUGUCAAAGUGCAGCAAGGUACGAAUGUGAGGGUAGACCUCCUCAUCCACAGAUCCCUCCGUUGAAUGCAACCGGAUGAGAAACUCAAAGAUCUGCAAUGAAGAUCUGCAAUGAAAACACUGCAGGUUUCCUAUGGAUUUCAGAGAAGUGACAUUGCAAGCACACUGGAAAGCAGCAUCACCACUUGCUCUGCACUUAGGCUUUAAAAUACAUUAGCAGUCCAUCACUGUGCUUGAAUGAUGUUUCUUGAUGCUUGUUAGGAGAAAAAGCCCUUCCUUAGGCUCACCAGCCAACUUAUCAACCAACGUCCAAAAAUUAAGGCUCAUUCUUGCAGACUGAACUGUCUGAAGUUAGAUUAACUGCCUGCUCAUGCUGGCAGCUCUCCUCAGCAGCUGUGCAGCUGCUCCUUAACCAGGGCACAGCUCCCCUCCUCAUCAGCAGUUCCUUUGGGAAGAGCCAAGCAAUGUGCCCCCCUCACUUUGAGGGGCUGCAAAAACUGACACAAGUGCUAUCCAACUCCUUUGCUGAAUUCCUAAUUUCAGCAAGUUGAGUAUGCCUUUCAAAAAUGAGAGUAACUGCCUUUAUCUUGCCACUGACAGAGGUGUCCAGUCCUUUCCAAGGCAACAAACAGGAACAGCUCCAGCUGUCCCAGUCCUGUGCUGGUCAAAGCUCCCAAGAGAUCUACCUGCCAGUAGAAGGGCUGCAGGGUGGCCAGUGUCUGUCACGGUGUGUUAAGGUACACACAGGGAUCCCAUGGGGAACUGACAGGCAAUAUGCUUUCCUAGGACAGUAAAAAUGCCACCCCCCAGGAAAUGUCUCAUUUUCUCAUUCAUUCCUGUUCUGAGUUAACUUGUGAACGGUGACAGAGAACGGUGACAGAGAAGCCAGGAAGGAUUAGCAGCUUGACUUUGAGAAGCACAGCCUUCCUGUGUAACUUGGCCUCCUUGAACCUGGCACCUUCCUGCCA
Long non-coding RNA from Gallus gallus (chicken), 1251 nucleotides. RefSeq lists it as uncharacterized. The transcript is spliced from 2 exons. Lineage: Eukaryota; Metazoa; Chordata; Aves; Galliformes; Phasianidae. The record is from RefSeq and is a predicted model, not a curated record.